Molecule: long non-coding RNA, 1554 nt
Organism: Hemicordylus capensis (graceful crag lizard)
Lineage: Eukaryota; Metazoa; Chordata; Lepidosauria; Squamata; Cordylidae
Exons: 3
Source: RefSeq, a predicted model, not a curated record
UCUCUUCAGGAGUUCGCUUAGCCGUAGGCAGCUGUCAGUUACUUGUUUCUUGUUGGCAUCUAAGACAGCAGACCCCCUGCUGAGUUUGUGACAGACCCCUCCUGGUUUGUGGAGCCUGUUUGGGAAGACAAGCUGUCAUCUAAAUUGUGCUAUCUGAAAUUUAAGGAGUGAAGAGAAAGGAAAGAGAGAGAAAAUGAACUACAUUCUGCCGCCUAUCCCAAAGAAAUGCAACACAAUCUGAUUUCACCUCUUUCUCUCUAGGCUGAAUGUGUUCAUUUUUGCUUACAAAGGAAAGACACAAAAGAACUGUAAGAAAAGGAUUCAGAUGGUGCCGCCUGAUACACUUUUGCAGCUAAAAUGUGAAAACAAAACCCAGCUUCUGUUGACAGCCUUUGGGUUUGAAAGUGACUGUGACACACAUACAGACCAAGGCUAAACAUGGGGAUAGGUUAUAUCCAAUGCUGUGGAAACUCAUCCUCCCCUGCCUCCCUGCCUAUCAUGUGUAGCGCUUCCUGGUGGAGUAUUAAAGUCCAUAAUCAAUUGGAGUGGAGUGGAAAAAGCAGAUCAGAGACAAGAAGUUUGCCCUGAAGUUCAGGAGAGGAUAAGUAAUUACAGUGAUUCAAGAACUCUUUUUUCACAGAUAGUGGUUUGAACAUAAAUCUCAAAAGCACUUCUCUGACUUUUAUUAUCAUGGGUAUUAUGUUUUCUUUAUUUCUUUUAAUAUGUCCAUAUGAUGGUCGUACAAUGUGUCUUUUUGUCCGCCUGUCCCCUUUUAUUCUCUUCAUUUGUUCAUUUGAUGCAGUUCACCAUUCAUGACUUAUCAGCAACUGAUGGCACUUUAAUUACAGGGUCUAUAUUAUUAUUGCUGGAUUUUUAAAGAAAAUAUAAUAAAUUAUUUUCAAUAGAAAACACUGGAAAUAAUAAUUCUGUUUCCAUCAGCUAGAGAGGAAGCUGCACAUACUUAAUGGGAAAGAGAAUACUGAUAUAUAUUUAAUAAUGCGGAUACAAUGGUACUUAGUAUUUCCAUCUUAGGAUGUCAGUGAUUUUACAAACAUUAAUAAAACUCCUUUUCUCUGCUCUCUUUUAUCUGCCUGUCAAGGAGGCUAUGGGAUCACAAUUUAGGGAGGGGGAUAGAAAGCCGUGUAGCACUUGUCCCUUCAUCUCCUGCUUGUUGGCUUCCCAGAAUCAUCCUGUUGAAAACAGGAUGAUUAACUUUGGUGUGGUGGGCCUUUGGUCUGAUCCAGCAGGUCAGAUUGCCAAUUCUAAGUGAAGCUAUUCCUAAAGAUUUCCCCUUGCAAUAUUUUCCCAAUGUUUUCCACAAAAUUAGAUUAAAAUCUCCAGGAUUGCUUUCAGUGGUCUCCUAGGGAUGUGUGAAUUGGCUUGAGGUGGAGUAGGUUUGCCAUCGAACCAGGGCUCACUGCCGGGUCUGGGGCUGCUGCUGCAGCCACAGGAACAGUCUCUGCCAUCUGUACCUCCCCCCCCACCAGCCUUCUCUCGCAGUUCAGAGGGCCAUUUUGGCCCCUUUUCAGACUGUUCCAGCCCUUUCUCCAGUGU